RNAcentral lists this unclassified non-coding RNA (3566 nucleotides) under Limulus polyphemus (Atlantic horseshoe crab). RNAcentral's name for it is "major facilitator superfamily domain-containing protein 4A-like, transcript variant X1". Lineage: Eukaryota; Metazoa; Arthropoda; Merostomata; Xiphosura; Limulidae. The record is from RNAcentral.
GAGGAGAUAAGAUUUUCCUGACACUGAACGAACGUGAACAUCAUCUUAUACUAAUAUUUUUAACCGAUCAGUGUAACCAAAGUAAAUUAAUCAGAGUUCAGUGAGCAUGGGCAUUUCUAAAGAUUUAUAACACAUAAAGUAAAAACAAAAUUACCCAUUCUGAACUAGAAAGUUUGCUUUUAGUAGGAAAGUAUAUACCUGGUCUUCCUUUUUAACACACAUCAAUGGAAAUGUUACCUAAUGGACUUGGCUUCUCUUCAUCUGGAAAACAGAACUUCAGAGAUGUUGGUGUUGCAGUAAACGAUAUUGAAGCUCCAGCAAACUCUUUGCGAGAACCCGCUACGAAUUUGGAUAACACCAAGGGAGAAAACUUAGUCUUUCGUAAGUCGAUAAUUUCAACAAAAACGGAGCACUGCUGUGACCUUUUCUGGAAAAAAAAACACACUACAAUCACACUUUGUUGCGUUUUCUUGAGCUUUGGAAUGUGUGUGGCUUUCUUAGGUCCAACUCUGUUGGACCUGGGCUGUAAGACUAGUACAGUGUUCGCUACCAUGUCAUGGGUGUUCUUCAGUCAAUCCCUGUCUGUACUCCUAGGGUCAGUCUGUGGAGGGCUCUUACUCAAAAGAUUUACCACAAAUGUGAUGCUAAUAGUGGGAACAACAGUUAUGACUAUCACCAUGGCAAUUAUUCCUUUCUGCAAUUUACUCUGGACGUUGGGUGUUGUGUUGGCUAUAAUGGGGUUUUUUAUGGGCACUAUCGAUACAGUGGCAAACGUCUCCAUGAUCCAGCUGUAUGGAAAGGAAGUGUCACCGUUUCUCCAGGCACUUCAUUUUUUCUAUGGAGUUGGAGCAUUUUUAAGUCCAAUGAUAGUACAACCGUUCCUCUUGAAUCAGGACUGUUCUCACUUCCUAGACAAUACCACAGAAGUUGUCAAUGAAUACGAAGAAAACUAUUCCCUGUCUGCCACAACACUCGCUGAAGCGCAGAGCAAAACCCACAUUGACUUAGCUUUCUGGAUCAUGGCACUACUGAUGGUUCCCGUUGUCAUUCUUUCAUUGAGUCUCGUAGGAAGACAAGAACACAAAGGGACCUAUCCAAUAAACUCGACACACACUACAUCAAACACGCAGAAUAUGUAUGGAAAUAUAGAUUGUGAAGACAAGAAAAAAGAUGCGAUGUCCCACGUAGUCCUGGUGACAGUUUUAUGUACAAUCAUCCUUUUCCUCUGUGAUGGAUUGCAAGCAGGAUGUGGAGGAUAUAUUUACUCGUAUGGAGUAAAGGGCCCUGCUGGACUACCACCAAAUAAGGCUGCUUUUCUAAAUGCUUUGUUUUGGGGGAUGUUUGCCGGUGGGCGACUCAUUUCUAUUGUACUAGCGACAAAACUUUCUCCAGCUUUCAUGCUACUGUGUAACUUUGUGGGCUGUACAGUUGGAAUUAUCUUGAUAAUAAGUUCUCCCAGUUGCCAGACAUCACUGAUCCUUGGAGUUUGCUUAUUGGGGGUUUUCAUGAGCAGCGUUUUCCCGACUGUACUUUCCCUUUCUGAGCAGUACGUAAACAUUACCCCAACCAUUACAAGUAUUCUUGUGUUUGGCGCAACCUCGGGAGAAAUGUCUCUGCCAGUCAUCGUUGGUCAUGAGUUUGGCAGAACUGGUCCAAUCAGCUUCGUCGUCAUUGGACUUGUGUUAUGCUUUCUCUUAUUAAUUUUCUACAUGGCGCUGUGGUUGGUUGGUCACAACAUGAAUUACUCAGCUUCAUCCGGACUGAUGGCCUUUCUCAGGAGGAACAUUAUCACCAAGAUGUCAGCUGAGCGCAAGUCUUCGGGCCUCAUGAGGGAACAUGUGUGUCACUACUCACGCAUAACACCCGAACACUCGGAAAAUGGUGUUGGAGAUAAGUACAGCGACUCGGAAAGUGAGGAACUGCUCCAAACUCGCUAAGAGGUGCGAUCCUACCUUUAUAUAGUUCGGUCUUUAAACUGUUAUUAAUACCAGUCCUACGUUGUAGUCCGUCUUUGAAUCUUUAUCAACACCAGUCCUACUUUUGUGUAGUCCGUAUUUAAACUGUUAUUAAUACCAGUCCUACUUUGUACUUCAUAUGUGAACUGUUAUUAACAACAGUACUACUUUUAUGGAGUUCGGUCUUUAAACCGUUAUUAACACCAAUCCUACUUUUGUGUAGUUCAUAUUUAAACUUAUUAGCAUCAGUCCUACUUUUGUGUAGCCCAUAGUUAAACUUUUACUGUUUUCAUAACUUUUGUGAAAUUGAAUUCAUUUCUUCCUGCUCAGAGACCGCUUUAGUCAUUUUCCAAAUUCAAAUAUAAAAUAAUUUCCCUCACAUCUGACCACAGUUUGAACACCUGUUUAUAUAUAUAGCUCUAUGGCAAUAAGGAAAAAUGUUAAACUUGGUUAUACCCGACUGUUGUAAUAAUAGUGUUAUAUGGAAAGGCAGGAAAUUAAUUUCUGUUUAGAUUAAUCACUAUGAUACAACAAUGACAAAAAUGUAAAAGAACUAACAAUACUUGUUUUCUUAUUUUCCAGAUGUACAACAUUCGUUAUAAACAAAGCAAGCUAUUUUUUAAAAAUCCACCAAGGUUAAUAUAUUUCUAUUGUUUUUAAUCCUCAGGAUAUAACAGAUACAACAAUACUACUAACGCACAUAACAUACCACAGGUUGUUUCUACUGACCUAUUAUCACAGAAGAAAUACUACAUGUUGGUUGUACUGAACCUAUUAUACCAGAUGACAUACUACAGGUUGUUUCUAUGAUCCCAUUAUUCCAAAUGACAUACAAGUUGUUUCUACAAUCCUAUUAUCCCAAAUGACAUACAAGUUGUUUCUACUGGUCCUAUUAUACCAGAUGACAUACUACAGGUUGUUUCUACAAUCCUAUUAUCCCAAAUGACAUACAAGUUGUUUCUACUGGUCCUAUUAUACCAGAUGACAUACUACAGGUUGUUUCUAUGAUCCCAUUAUUCCAAAUGACAUACAAGUUGUUUCUACUGAUCCUAUUACACCAGAUCUUGUACUAUAGAUUGUUUCUGCUGAUCUCAUCAAUACUAAUAAAAGACUAGAAGUUGGAUCUACUGUUGUACUUAGUGAUGUUUCCAAAUAAUGUUUUUUUUAACCUUGUAUCCUGACAGACUUUUUUUUUCCUUGUAACUAGAGGCAGUUGUUUUUUAUUCUAUGUAACCAAGAAGAACUUAUUUUUGUUUCAUAUAAUUAGGUGUGGUUAUUAUCUUUGUUUCAUUUAAUCAGAUAAUUUUUAUUUUUCGUUUGAAAUAACCAGCUAAAGAUCUUUAUUGUCAUUUCAUGUAACCAGGCAGAUUUCAUUUCAUAUAACCAGGUGGAGUUAUUAUUUCUAUUCAUGUAACCAGAGGUUAAAGUUCCUGUAAGCUUUUCUAUUGCUUUAACUUUUAAAGUUUUGAAUGUCUGUCAGUGUACUAAGAAAACACAGCUGUUAAGUGUAAUGCACUUUAAGAAUAAAUAAAACUCAAGUUGAGGAAUGACAAGUCUGCAGUAACUGAAUCUUUCUGAGAACUGCAUGUACAUCCACCGUUUGUGCACAAA